GCCUUAUAGAAAUAACUUACCUUACUUUAUAUUUUAACUUAAUCUAGUAGCUGAAGCUUUUAAGAGAGUGACCCAACCUAUGCUCAGUAAACUUAGAAAGUGUUGCCAGUGUUUUAUUUUUUCAUGAUUUCUCUUGUUAAUUUAAAAGAGGGUAGAUAAGAAAUAGGAUAUGAUUCUUGUCCCACAUUAUUCUGUCAUUAAUAUUGGAGUUAUAGUUUCUGUCAAGUUAAGCACAGUGAAUAUAAUUGUUUAAAUUAUUAUAAAUAGUUGAGAAAAUGUAAUUAUAACAAAAUCCUUUAUUAUUCUUUAAAACUAUUAAAUUGAACUGCUAUAAGCCAAUAAUAGAUGUACCAAAUCCUACCAUUUCUUUUCAAAAGUGUGAUAGCUCUGCAUUUAUCUGCUACAAAUAUUGACUUUCACAUAAGGAAAUGAAUGAUACCAUUGCCUUAAGUUUUUUUUAAAAAGCUACUUCUAUAUAGACUGUCAUUGCCCAUAGCAACUGGUUGACUCCUCAUGAGCUACUUUUCCUCUUCCGAGGGAAUGAACUAAGAGCCCAUAUUUCCUGCUAGUAGGAACCGGUUGCUUAUGGGUAAAUAGGACUGGGGGAG
Molecule: long non-coding RNA, 608 nt
Filed under: Marmota monax (woodchuck)
Lineage: Eukaryota; Metazoa; Chordata; Mammalia; Rodentia; Sciuridae
Source: RNAcentral